UACGUAGGUGGCAAGCGUUGUUCGGAAUAACUGGGCGUAAAGGAUGCGUAGGCGGUUAAACAAGUUAUAUGUUAAAUAUAUAGGCUUAACCUGUAGAAAGCAUAUAAAACUGUUUAACUAGAGUGCAGGAGAGGUAAGUGGAAUUCCUAGUGUAGCGGUGAAAUGCGUAGAGAUAUGGAGGAACACCAGUGGCGAAGGCGGCUUCCUGGUCUGCAACUGACACUGAGGCGCGAAAGCGUGGGGAGCAAACAGG
RNAcentral lists this ribosomal RNA (253 nucleotides) under uncultured Candidatus Neoarthromitus sp. Its description in RNAcentral is "uncultured Candidatus Arthromitus sp. partial 16S ribosomal RNA". It matches the Rfam family "Bacterial small subunit ribosomal RNA", at positions 524 to 776 of the family's 1533-position model. The record is from RNAcentral. Lineage: Bacteria; Bacillati; Bacillota; Clostridia; Eubacteriales; Clostridiaceae.